This 500-nucleotide ribosomal RNA is filed under the name uncultured bacterium. RNAcentral's name for it is "bacterial SSU rRNA". It matches the Rfam family "Bacterial small subunit ribosomal RNA", at positions 25 to 507 of the family's 1533-position model. The record is from RNAcentral.
CAGGAUGAACGCUGGCGGCGUGCCUAAUACAUGCAAGUCGAACGCACAGCGAAAGGUGCUUGCACCUUUCAAGUGAGUGGCGAACGGGUGAGUAACACGUGGACAACCUGCCUCAAGGCUGGGGAUAACAUUUGGAAACAGAAGCUAAUACCGAAUAAAACUUAGUGUCGCAUGACACAAAGUUAAAAGGCGCUUCGGCGUCACCUAGAGAUGGAUCCGCGGUGCAUUAGUUAGUUGGUGGGGUAAAGGCCUACCAAGACAAUGAUGCAUAGCCGAGUUGAGAGACUGAUCGGCCACAUUGGGACUGAGACACGGCCCAAACUCCUACGGGAGGCUGCAGUAGGGAAUCUUCCACAAUGGGCGAAAGCCUGAUGGAGCAACGCCGCGUGUGUGAUGAAGGCUUUCGGGUCGUAAAGCACUGUUGUAUGGGAAGAACAGCUAGAAUAGGAAAUGAUUUUAGUUUGACGGUACCAUACCAGAAAGGGACGGCUAAAUACGUG